This 468-nucleotide ribosomal RNA is filed under the name uncultured bacterium. RNAcentral's name for it is "partial 16S ribosomal RNA". It matches the Rfam family "Bacterial small subunit ribosomal RNA", at positions 28 to 507 of the family's 1533-position model. The record is from RNAcentral.
GACGAACGCUGGCGGUGUGCUUAACACAUGCAAGUCGAACGGUAAGGCCCUUUCGGGGGUACACGAGUGGCGAACGGGUGCGUAACACGUGAGUAACCUGCCCUCAUCUCUGGGAUAACAGUCGGAAACGGUUGCUAAUACUGGAUAUGAGCUUGCAAGGCAUCUUGUGGGUUGGAAAGAUUUUUUUUGGUUGGGGAUGGACUCGCGGCCUAUCAGCUUGUUGGUGAGGUAGUGGCUCACCAAGGCUUCGACGGGUAGCCGGCCUGAGAGGGCGACCGGCCACAUUGGGACUGAGAUACGGCCCAAACUCCUACGGGAGGCAGCAGGGGGGAAUAUUGCACAAUGGACGGAAGUCUGAUGCGGCAACGCCGCGUGCGGGAUGACGGCCUUCGGGUUGUAAACCGCUUUCAAUUGUGACGAAGCUUUUUUGUGACGGUAGCAGUAGAAGAAGCACCGGCUAACUACGUG